This 981-nucleotide long non-coding RNA is filed under the name Mytilus galloprovincialis (Mediterranean mussel). Lineage: Eukaryota; Metazoa; Mollusca; Bivalvia; Mytilida; Mytilidae. The record is from RNAcentral.
UUGCUGGUGUAUGGUGAGAUAGUAGUUGUGUCAGUAGUGUAUAAUUGGUCUUAGUUGUGUUGGUGGUGUGUGAUGAGAUGAUAGCUGUGUUGGUAGUGUUUAAUUGGUCUAAGUUGUGUUGGUGUUGUAUGAUGAGAUGGUAGUUGUGUUGGUAGUGUAUAAUUGGUCUUAGUUGUGUUGGUGGUGUAUGUGAGAUGGUAGUUGUGUUGGUAGUGCAUAAUUGGUCUUAGUUGUGUUGGUGGUGUAUGAUGAGAUGAUAGUUGUGUUGGUAGUGUAUAAUUGGUCUUAGUUGUUUUGGUGGUGUAUGAUUAGAUGGUAGUUGUGUUGGUAGUGUAUAAUUGUUCUUAGUUGUGUUGGUGGUGUAUGAUUAGAUGGUUAUUGUGUUGGUAGUGUAUCAUUGGUCUUAGUUGUGUUGGUUAUGUAUGAUGAGAUGGUAGUUGUGUCGGUGGUGUAUAAUUGGUCUUAGUUGUGUUGGUGGUGUAUGGUUAGAUGGUACUUGUGUUGGCAGUGUAUCAUUGGUCUUAGUUGUUUUGGUGGUGUAUGAUGAGAUGGUAGUUGUGUUGGUGGUGUAUAAUUGAUCUUUGUUGUGUUGGUGGUAUAUGAUGAGAUGGUAGUUGUGUUGGUAGUAUAUAAUUGGACUUAGUUGUGUGUGUUGGUGGUGUAUGACGAGAUGGUAGUUGUGUUGGCAGUUUAUAAUUGGUCUUAGUUGUGUUGGUGGUUUGUGAUGAGAUGGUAGUUGUGUUGGUAGUGUAUAAAUGAUCUUAGUUGUGUUGGUGCUGUAUGAUGGUAUGGUAGUUGUGUCAGUAGUGUUUAAUUUGUCUUAGUUGUGUUGGUGGUGUAUGAUGAGAUGGGAGUUGUGUUGGUAGUGUAUAAUUGGUCUUAGUUGUGUUGGUGGUGUAUGAUGAGAUCAUACACCACCAACACAGCUAAGACCAAUUAUACACUACCAACACAACUACCAUCUCAUCAUACACCACCAAC